AACGGCCGUACCAUGCUGAAUAUACCGGUUCUCGUUAGAUCACCGAAGUCAAGCAUCAUUGGGCGCGGUCAGUACUUGGAUGGGUGACCACCUGGGAACACUGCGUGCCGUU
Molecule: ribosomal RNA, 112 nt
Filed under: Caerostris darwini
Lineage: Eukaryota; Metazoa; Arthropoda; Arachnida; Araneae; Araneidae
Source: RNAcentral